Molecule: RNA transcript, 1685 nt
Organism: Canis lupus familiaris (dog)
Lineage: Eukaryota; Metazoa; Chordata; Mammalia; Carnivora; Canidae
Exons: 9
Source: RefSeq, a predicted model, not a curated record
AUUGCUGCUCCAGAAUUCUCUGCUCAGGCAGGGCAGCCCUCCCCACAGCCUGAUUAGAACACCUCCCCUUUUACCAUCACUGAGGACAAAGAGUAAGGAGCUGGUGUAUGAUCACCAACACGUGGUCUGCAAAGUUAGACAUUGCCUUUCCCUUAAGGAAACAUAGACACAGCAACAGCACCAAGCCCUGGGGGCGGGAGACCCCUUUCCAGAGUUCAGCUGGUCAACUGGAGUCUGAAGCCCAGGAGGAAAUAGCCCCAGGAGAUAUUAUAUACCACCUGGAGCCCCUUUCCAAGGUUCCACUCCAGACACAGCCCACAGGCUACUUCAGCCAGUCCUACAAGCCUCAGUGGUCUCCCUUCAGUGCAACCUAUGGAGAUUGUUACAAGCCCUGGAGAAUAGAGCCUGUGACUUACCAUGGGAAGAAGUCCUCCCAUUCAGGUGACUACCACAUGAUCACUACUCAUCAGAUUUCCUUCCAGAACCCUCUUCUUGGCCAAUCAAUGCUCCCAGUUCACAUUCAGGGCAGAAAAAUAGCACCAGUAGUGCGUCCAGGCUACAUGGAGUAUAUCAGCCAAUACCAGAGGAACUUCCAGGCCUCAGGGUGGAAUCAAGUCCUCAGAACUGACCCAAACAAAAACAAUCAGGGGAUUAACAAAUAUAUCCAGGCUGUGCAGAAAGACACUGGCUGGCAGCCCACUAUGCAUCAGCAUCAGAAGCCGAGAUGGCUGAGGCAGGAGAUGACCAUCCUGGGUAGGAAAAGCACUGCCAAGUUUGAUGGAGACACAGUGACCAGGGUAAAGUGCCCAAGCUCUCUGUCAAGAGCCACUUACGGACUCUGAUAUCUGUCCCUGACCACAGAAGUGAGAUAUGCAUUCCUCUCUUCCCAGAUGCCUUACCUACCUCCUCCUAAAGCCCAGGUAAAACGGGUCAAGGGUAAGUGCCCCUCUAGCACACUCAGAGUCUUCAAAGCCAAGUUACAAACUGAAAUUGCCAGCAAGCGCUUCUUCCAGGACGGCCGAACUCAGCCCAGGGUAGGCUGUGGAGACCCUUAUCACAGAAGCCAUGAGAAGCUGCCGGGUGUUCACAGGCACCGACUGAGAAUCAAACUACCCCCAGGAUCUCCUACAUGCCCUUGUUUUCUGAAAGGUUGAACCUGUGUAAGCCCAAGGUCAACAGCAUCAAAUGGGAGCCAAACACAAUUUCUCUACAGAGCAAAGGAAAACAUUCAGGCCAGUCCAGCUACCUGAAAGCCAGCUCUAGAAGAAUUUAUGGCAACAACAAGAUUCAAAAUUCCCAAAUAUAGUAAUCAUUGGAGGAAAGAAAUUGCCCAAAUAACCUAUGCAAAAAUGCACAGUUCAGGACACACAUCUCUGAACCAACUCAAACUUAAAACUAAGGUCCCACAAUAACUACUUCACAGUGUAGAUUCAGCUUUCCCACUGGGAUUUCCCAGUCACGUGCAAACCCUAAUCCAGCUCUUUGAAACUAAAUGAGCAAGGGUGAGUAAGCUACUUAGAAAGGAACGAUGAUGCACUGUGUGUCCUAGAAGGUCGGUGGUGUUACAAGACACCUGAGGGAAAAAAGAAGUCCAAGUGUUUCCCUCCUAAUUAAUGAAUGAAUGGCAAAGCAUCAAGACUUUUCUCAAGUCAGUACCAUCAAUUAAUUACAUUCUAUUUGAGCUA